This 459-nucleotide ribosomal RNA is filed under the name uncultured bacterium. RNAcentral describes it as "partial 16S ribosomal RNA". It matches the Rfam family "Bacterial small subunit ribosomal RNA", at positions 338 to 795 of the family's 1533-position model. The record is from RNAcentral.
CCUACGGGAGGCAGCAGUGAGGAAUAUUGGUCAAUGGCCGGAAGUCUGAACCAGCCAAGCAGCGUGAAGGACGAAGGUGCCAAGCAUUGUAAACUUCUUUUGUCAAGGAAUAAAAUGAGGCUCGUGAGCCUUACCGCAUGUACUUUAUGAAAAAGCAUCGGCUAACUCCGUGCCAGCAGCCGCGGUAAUACGGAGGAUCCGAGCGUUAUCCGGAUUUAUUGGGUUUAAAGGGGGCGAAGGCGGAAGGUCAAGUCAGCGGUAAAAUUGAGCGGCUCAACCUAUACUAGCCGUUGAAACUGGUAGUCUUGAGUGAGGGAGAAGUAUGCGGAAUGCGUGGUGUAGCGGUGAAAUGCAUAGAUAUCACGAAGAACUCCGAUUGCGAAGGCAGCAUACCGGAGUGCAACUGACGCUCAUGCACGAAAGUGUGGGUAUCGAACAGGAUUAGAUACCCCAGUAGUC